GAACAGCAGAGCAUGAGCAGCAUGUGAGGUUUACAGAGUAAAUUUGUGCCCAAAAAAAAUGAAGCACAGAG
Long non-coding RNA from Phyllostomus discolor (pale spear-nosed bat), 71 nucleotides. RefSeq lists it as uncharacterized. The transcript has 3 exons. The record is from RefSeq and is a predicted model, not a curated record. NCBI's taxonomy places the organism in Eukaryota, Metazoa, Chordata, Mammalia, Chiroptera, Phyllostomidae.